Anolis carolinensis (green anole) is the source of this 304-nucleotide long non-coding RNA. RefSeq lists it as uncharacterized. The transcript has 3 exons. The record is from RefSeq and is a predicted model, not a curated record. Lineage: Eukaryota; Metazoa; Chordata; Lepidosauria; Squamata; Anolidae.
UGUUGGUUCUGAGCACUGCAGUGUAAAGUUCAUUGUCUGACAAUAUGAGACAGGAGAGCAAGGAGUGCAGUGAGGAGGACUGUCAUGAGCUGUAUUCCAACAAUGAGCACAGAACAGCAAAUCUGCAUUAAUCAUGAACCAAAUACAGAUGUUCAUACACCACAAUAAUUCACAUCCAGCUUCUGAAGGUACAGAAAGAGUGCAAAGAUAAACAACUGCAACAAUUUCGAAAUGUUACCAUGGAAACCCCACAAGGACAAAAAAAAUCUGAAGGCUGCAAGCCAAAUAAACUGAUUACACUGCU